GGACGAACGCUGGCGGCGUGGAUUGGGCAUGCAAGUCGGACGGUAGGACUUUAUCGUAAGAUAGAGUUUGAGAGUGGCGAACGGGUGAGUAAUACGUAGGAAUCUACCCUUAAGACGGGGACAACUCAGGGAAACUUGGGCUAAUACCGGAUGCGAGUGUAUGAGAGUACAUUUAAAAGGAUGGUGAAAGCUAUCGCUUAGGGAUGAGCCUGCGGUCUAUUAGCUAGUUGGUGGGGUAAGAGCUCACCGAGGCGAUGAUAGAUAGGCGGCCUUAACGGGUGGUCGCCCACACUGGGAUUGAGAUACGGCCCAGACUCCUACGGGAGGCAGCAGUCGAGAAUAGUCUACAAUGGCCGGAAGGCUGAUAGUGCGACGCCGCGUGAACGAGGGAGCCCUUCGGGGUGUAAAGUUCUUUUCUAUACGAGCAGUGCUAUAUAUAUUCAAAGUAUAUAUAGAGGGAUAGUAGUAUAGGAAUAAGCAACGGCUAACUCCGUGCCAGCAGCCGCGGUAACACGGGGGUUGCGAGCGUUGUCCGGAAUUACUAGGCGUAAAGGGCAGGUAGGCGGAUCUACGAGUUUUUUGUUAAAGGCUACGGCUUAACUGUAGUAAGGCAGGAGAUACUGUAGGUCUGGAAUGCGGUAGGGGAAGACAGAAUUCCUGGUGUAGCGGUGGAAUGCGCAGAGAUCAGGAGGAAUACCGAAGGCGAAGGCAGUCUUCUAGGCCGUAAUUGACGCUUAACUGCGAAGGUGUGGGGAUCAAACAGGAUUAGAUACCCUGGUAGUCCACACAGUAAACGAUAAUCACUAGAUGUCGGAUUCUAGAUGGAUUCGGUGUCGGAGCUAACGCGAUAAGUGAUUCGCCUGGGGAGUACGAUCGCAAGGUUGAAACUCAAAGGAAUUGACGGGGGCCCGCACAAGCGGUGGAGCAUGUGGUUUAAUUCGAGGCAACGCGAAGAACCUUACCCGGUCUUGACAUCCGCGGGAGGCUUCAGAGAUGGAGCUGUGCCGGCGUAAGCUGGAGCCUCUACAGGUGUUGCAUGGCUGUCGUCAGCUCGUGUCGUGAGAUGUUCGGUUAAGUCCAGCAACGAGCGCAACCCCUACCUUUAGUUGCCAGCAGGUAAAGCUGGGGACACUAGAGGGACUGCCUGCGCAAGCAGAGAGGAAGGUGGGGAUGACGUCAAAUCAGCACGGCCCUUAUGUCCAGGGCUACACACGUGCUACAAUGGUAACUACAGAGGGCAGCGACUAGGCGACUAGGAGCGAAUCUCGAAAAGUUACCUCAGUUCGGAUUGGAGUCUGCAACUCGACUCCAUGAAGGUGGAUUCGCUAGUAAUCGCGCAUCAGCAAUGGCGCGGUGAAUACGUUCCCGGGCCU
Molecule: ribosomal RNA, 1373 nt
Filed under: uncultured bacterium
Lineage: Bacteria
Description: bacterial SSU rRNA
Rfam family: Bacterial small subunit ribosomal RNA
Source: RNAcentral